This 69-nucleotide transfer RNA is filed under the name Rattus norvegicus (Norway rat). It matches the Rfam family "tRNA". Rfam says of the family: Transfer RNA (tRNA) molecules are approximately 80 nucleotides in length. Their secondary structure includes four short double-helical elements and three loops (D, anti-codon, and T loops). Further hydrogen bonds mediate the characteristic L-shaped molecular structure. tRNAs have two regions of fundamental functional importance: the anti-codon, which is responsible for specific mRNA codon recognition, and the 3' end, to which the tRNAs corresponding amino acid is attached (by aminoacyl-tRNA synthetases). tRNAs cope with the degeneracy of the genetic code in two manners: having more than one tRNA (with a specific anti-codon) for a particular amino acid; and 'wobble' base-pairing, i.e. permitting non-standard base-pairing at the 3rd anti-codon position. The record is from Rfam by way of RNAcentral. Lineage: Eukaryota; Metazoa; Chordata; Mammalia; Rodentia; Muridae.
GGGGAUUUAGCUCAGUGGUAGAGCGCUUGCCUAGCAAGCACAAAGCCCUGGGUUCGGUCCCCAGUUCCG